RNAcentral lists this transfer RNA (73 nucleotides) under Varroa jacobsoni. RNAcentral describes it as "tRNA-Met". It matches the Rfam family "tRNA". From Rfam's summary of the family: Transfer RNA (tRNA) molecules are approximately 80 nucleotides in length. The record is from RNAcentral. RNAcentral also lists the same sequence under 1 other name. Lineage: Eukaryota; Metazoa; Arthropoda; Arachnida; Mesostigmata; Varroidae.
GCUUCGGUAGCGCAGUAGGCAGCGCGUCAGUCUCAUAAUCUGAAGGUCGUGAGUUCGAUCCUCACCCGAGGCA